This 440-nucleotide ribosomal RNA is filed under the name uncultured bacterium. RNAcentral's name for it is "partial 16S ribosomal RNA". It matches the Rfam family "Bacterial small subunit ribosomal RNA", at positions 338 to 795 of the family's 1533-position model. The record is from RNAcentral.
CCUACGGGUGGCAGCAGUGGGGGAUAUUGCACAAUGGGGGGAACCCUGAUGCAGCGACGCCGCGUGGGUGAAGAAGCGCCUCGGCGCGUAAAGCCCUGUUAGCAGGGAAGAAAAUGACGGUAACUGAAGAAGAAGCCCCGGCUACCUACGUGCCAGCAGCCGCGGUAAUACGUCGGGGGCACGCGUUGUCCGGAUUUACUGGGUGGAAAGGGGGCGCAGACGGCGGUGCAAGCCAGGAGUGAAAGCCGGUGGCUCAACCCCGGGACUGCUCUGGGAACUGGGGGGCUGGAGUGCAGGAGGGGAAGGCGGAAUUCCUGGUGUAGCGGUGAAAUGCGUAGAUAUCAGGAGGAACACUGGUGGCGAAGGCGGCCUGCUGGACUGCAACUGACGUUGAGGCCCGAAAGCGUGGGGAGCAAACAGGAUUAGAUACCCCAGUAGUC